UACGUAGGGCGCAAGCGUUGUCCGGAAUUACUGGGCGUAAAGCGCGUGUAGGCGGCAGCGUGUGUCGGGCGUGAAAUCCCACGGCUCAACCGUGGAAGUGCACUCGAAACUGCGCAGCUAGAGUCCUGGAGAGGAAGGUGGAAUGCUUGGUGUAGAGGUGAAAUUCGUAGAUAUCAAGCGGAACACCGGUGGCGAAGGCGGCCUUCUGGACAGUGACUGACGCUGAGACGCGAAAGCGUGGGGAGCAAACAGG
RNAcentral lists this ribosomal RNA (253 nucleotides) under uncultured bacterium. Its description in RNAcentral is "partial 16S ribosomal RNA". It matches the Rfam family "Bacterial small subunit ribosomal RNA", at positions 524 to 776 of the family's 1533-position model. The record is from RNAcentral.